This 460-nucleotide ribosomal RNA is filed under the name uncultured bacterium. RNAcentral's name for it is "partial 16S ribosomal RNA". It matches the Rfam family "Bacterial small subunit ribosomal RNA", at positions 338 to 795 of the family's 1533-position model. The record is from RNAcentral.
CCUACGGGUGGCAGCAGUGAGGAAUAUUGGUCAAUGGGCGGAAGCCUGAACCAGCCAAGUCGCGUGAGGGAAGAAGGCCCUACGGGUCGUAAACCUCUUUUGCCGGGGAGCAAGGGCCGGGACGCGUGCCGGCCCGGAGAGUACCCGGAGAAAAAGCAUCGGCUAACUCCGUGCCAGCAGCCGGGGGAGUACGGAGGAUCCGAGGGUUAUCCGGAUUUAUUGGGUUUAAAGGGUGGGUAGGCGGGGUUUUAAGUCAGCGGUAAAAAUUGGGGGCUCAAACCCGUCCGGCCGUUGAAACUGGGGGCCUUGAGUGGGCGAGAAGAAGGCGGAAUGCGUGGUGUAGCGGUGAAAUGCAUAGAUAGCACGAAGAACCCCGAUUGCGAAGGCAGCCUUCCGGCGCCCUACUGACGCUGAGGCACGAAAGUGCGGGGAUCGAACAGGAUUAGAUACCCUAGUAGUC